GAAACGACUGCUAAGACUGGAUAGGAAGAUAAAAGGCAUCUUGUAUCUUUUAAAAGACCUAGUUAAUGGGUAUGCUUUAGGAGGGGCUUGCGCCAUAUUAGUUAGUUGGUAGGGUAAUGGCCUACCAAGACGAUGAUGUGUAGCUGGACUGAGAGGUUGAACAGCCACAUUGGGACUGAGACACGGCCCAAACUCCUACGGGAGGCAGCAGUAGGGAAUUUUCGGCAAUGGAGGAAACUCUGACCGAGCAACGCCGCGUGAAUGACGAAGUACUUCGGUAUGUAAAGUUCUUUUAUCGAGGAAGAAAAGUAAAUGGCGAACCAUUUGUUUGCCGGUACUUGAUGAAUAAGCCCCGGCUAAUUAUGUGCCAGCAGCCGCGGUAAGACAUAAGGGGCAAGUGUUAUCCGGAAUUAUUGGGCGUAAAGGGUGCGUAGGCGGUCUAGUAAGUCAGUGGUGUAAUGGCAACGCUUAACGUUGUCCGGCUAUUGAAACUGCUAAACUUGAGUUAGAUAGAGGCGAGUGGAAUUCCAUGUGUAGCGGUAAAAUGCGUAAAUAUAUGGAGGAACACCAGAGGCGUGGGCGGCUCGCUGGGUCUUAACUGACGCUGAGGCACGAAAGCGUGGAGAGCAAACAGGAUUAGAUACCCUGGUAGUCCACGCCGUAAACGAUGAGUACUAAGUGUCGGGUUAAACCGGUACUGAAGUUAACACAUUAAGUACUCCGCCUGAGUAGUACGUACGCAAGUAUGAAACUUAAAGGAAUUGACGGGACUCCGCACAAGCGGUGGAUCAUGUUGUUUAAUUCGAAGAUACCCGAAAAACCUUACCAGGUCUUGACAUGUUUUUGCAAAAUGAUAGUAAUAUCGUGGAGGUUACCAGAAACACAGGUGGUGCAUGGUUGUCGUCAGCUCGUGUCGUGAGAUGUUAGGUUAAGUCCUAAAACGAGCGAAACCCUUAUCGUUAGUUGCCAGCACGUUAUGGUGGGGACUUUAACGAGACUGCCAAUGAUAAAUUGGAGGAAGGUGAGGAUCACGUCAAAUCAGCAUGCCCCUUAUGACCUGGGCUACAAACGUGAUACAAUGGCUGUUACAAAGGGUAGCUGAAACGCAAGUUCUUGGCCAAUCCCCAAAAACAGUCCCAGUCCGGAUUGAAGUCUGCAACUCGACUUCAUGAAGUUGGAAUCGCUAGUAAUCGCGAAUCAGCAUGUCGCGGUGAAUACGUUCUCGGGGUUUGUACACACCCGCCCGUC
RNAcentral lists this ribosomal RNA (1248 nucleotides) under 'Cinnamomum verum' yellow leaf phytoplasma. RNAcentral's name for it is "bacterial SSU rRNA". It matches the Rfam family "Bacterial small subunit ribosomal RNA", at positions 153 to 1398 of the family's 1533-position model. The record is from RNAcentral. Lineage: Bacteria; Bacillati; Mycoplasmatota; Mollicutes; Acholeplasmatales; Acholeplasmataceae.